AGAGAAAUUGCAAAGGCCUUCAUAGUUAGCCACAUAGGAAUUGGAGAAAUAUUAGAAUGCCACAUAAGACAUGGAUCAAGGAAAUUGUGCCACAUAGGAAUUAGACCAUGAGAGAGAAACUCCUAAAUAUAUAAAUAAUAGAUAGAUAAAAUGUAAAUUGGUCACUAGGCGUAAAGGAAAGAAGAGAAGAAGAAGCAUACAAUUGAAUUGAAUUGAAUACAGAAACAGAGAGAGUUUGGUGCGUAACUGGAAAUCGGAAGAUAUGG
RNAcentral lists this long non-coding RNA (266 nucleotides) under Trifolium pratense (red clover). Its description in RNAcentral is "long non-coding RNA (TPRA_LNC011301)". Lineage: Eukaryota; Viridiplantae; Streptophyta; Magnoliopsida; Fabales; Fabaceae. The record is from RNAcentral.